GCCCUCACUUCUGCAGCACAUAUACUAAAAUUGGAAUGAUACAGAGAUUAGCAAGGCCCCUGUACAAGGACAGCAUGCAAAUUCAUGAAACAGUACACAUUAAA
This 104-nucleotide small nuclear RNA is filed under the name Castor canadensis (American beaver). The record is from RNAcentral. Lineage: Eukaryota; Metazoa; Chordata; Mammalia; Rodentia; Castoridae.